AACGAACGCUGGCGGCAUGCCUAACACAUGCAAGUCGAACGAGACCUUCGGGUCUAGUGGCGCACGGGUGCGUAACGCGUGGGAACCUGCCCUUAGGUUCGGAAUAACUCCCCGAAAGGGGUGCUAAUACCGGAUAAUGUCUUCGGACCAAAGAUUUAUCGCCUUUGGAUGGGCCCGCGUUGGAUUAGCUAGUUGGUAGGGUAAAAGCCUACCAAGGCGACGAUCCAUAGCUGGUCUGAGAGGAGGAUCAGCCACACUGGGACUGAGACACGGCCCAGAAUCCUACGGGAGGCAGCAGUGGGGAAUAUUGGACCAUGGGCGAAAGCCUGAUCCAGCAAUGCCGCGUGAGUGAUGAAGGCCUUAGGGUUGUAACGCUCUUUUACCCGGGAUGAUAAUGACAGUACGGAGAAUAAGCUCCGGCUAACUCCGUG
Molecule: ribosomal RNA, 431 nt
Filed under: uncultured bacterium
Lineage: Bacteria
Description: partial 16S ribosomal RNA
Rfam family: Bacterial small subunit ribosomal RNA
Source: RNAcentral